Neopsephotus bourkii (Bourke's parrot) is the source of this 2778-nucleotide long non-coding RNA. RefSeq lists it as uncharacterized. The transcript has 2 exons. The record is from RefSeq and is a predicted model, not a curated record. Lineage: Eukaryota; Metazoa; Chordata; Aves; Psittaciformes; Psittacidae.
GUCAUGAUGACUUAAUUAAUUUUGUGUAAAGAGUAGGCUUUCAGAACACCAGCUGACAUUCUUUUUCCUUAUUGCAAGUUUGUGUUGGACUGUGCUCACCAUGUGCAGACAUUAAAUAUUCAGUUGAAAUGCAGUGAAAAGAGCUAAAAAGCUUUCCAGAUUUCCUAACUUUCAAAAACUCCCAUCUCUCAUUAAGGAUGUGCAAAAGCACACUUCUAAUGAAUAGCCCUGGGUGACUUGUUGUCACAUCAAGAUUUCAUAUAAAAUUGAAUUAGUAGAAACUUUGGCAAAACUUUUCAGUAAUCUAUAUUUUUUACAUUUAGCAUUUCAUGUGAAUCAGGUAUUGAACAGCAAUUCUAUCUCAUACUACCUGUAUGCUUUUCAGUUACAUCUUGCUUCCAGUUGCUGUUGUAUAGUUAUCAAACACCAAACCACGGAGCUCCCAGGGGCUGUGUAACCUGUUUACAAGAGGUGCGCUGAUUCCUGUGGUUUCACAAGUCCCUUGGAAAGAUGUCUGAAGAGGCUUUCCGUCACUGACACAAACAGAGGCAGGCUUCCCAAGGUCUUUCCCAUGGCUACAGAAAUGAUCCCGAGGUUUUUCCAUGCAGGAAUUAAUGGUAGAGGCAGAGAUUGGAGAGUUUCAUGGGAAGAAGUUGCUGGCGGGGCUCCUGAGGUUGGGUCCACUGCAAAUGGCAGGUGAGGCGCAAAUGACUACAGCAGUGCAGUGCAGUGGCAUCUCUGUGUCCCUCAGAAUGCCUGGGCAUGGAGGAGGGCUGUGGGAGGACACACCUGCCCAUCCCUCAGAGCUGUGUUUGGUGCUAAGCCACAUGGAGCUGUCAUUUGGUUAAUGCUGUGUACUCACAAAUACUGCUGCUCUCUGUGCUGGAUUUAAUUUUAGGAGGAUUGAAAGGAAGUACCUUGGGAAGGAUUGCACUAGAAGAAGACACAUAAACCUUUUUUUAUGACUCAACUUUGUUAUUUUCACAAAUGCGGAACACAUUUUGGUCUGGCAUCCCAUUUGAUUUGUUUACUGCUUUUGUGUCCCACAUUUACAGAGGCUUUCCAAACAGAGAUGCUUCUCUCAUCUGGCCCGUCUCCGUCUUCUGCACAGAAACCUCAGUAUAGUAUUUUCAUCCUCCUGGAUUUUGGAGACACAGCGCCAGCCGUGAAUACUGGAUAUGUCUCUGAAGCAAAAAGGGUCAAUGGGAAGAUGAAGAUCUCUUGUGUUCCCACUACAUUAUAUCAAUCUUCAGAGCUGUGUUGUGCCACAUAACAACAGUUUGACCUCACUGUACCACACCAUUUGAGGCCUGGAUGGAGUGUUUCCCAACUCUGUCCAGUUCCACAAAUCCCCCUUGCAGCAGAGGAGCUGUCAAGGUGUUGAGAUGACCCUUUCUUCUCUAGCAGUGUUACAUCAGUGCUCAGGACAGUGAAGCUCCACAGGGUAUGGAAGAAAGAACAGAACAUUGGAUAAAGUCAAUCUGGGAUGCAUUUGGGAUGUACUUAGAUGCUUUGGUGGUGGUUAUUACAGAAAAUCCAGACCUGUCUUCGCUUUUGUGCUUAAACUGGAGAUUCCCACUGAGUGCUUUAUUCUGUGGCUUCACCAGAGUAUAUUCUUGUUCAAGCAUGGCACUGUGCUCGUUCUUCACUUCCAGUUUCACAGAAUCUUAUAAUCAGCUAGGUUGGAAAAGACCUUUAAGAUCAUCAAAUCCAACAAUUACCCCAGAACUGCCAAGCCCACCACUAAACCAUGUCACUGAGGUUUCAAGACUGUAUUUGUAUUUGAAGCCAAUGGCAUUGUUUCAUGGAAAUGCAGAAGUCCUUGCCAACUAAGAAUAAGGCGGUCAUCAAAAUAAACUUCCACUCUGGUCAUAUUUCAAGAGAUUCAGUGGAGCCUAGGACAGCCUGACAGCACUGCAUCUCCUUGUUGAAGGCCCUGUAGCAAAUAGAAAUACAAAAUGUAAGUGUUCAGAUUUUUGGGGUGAAAUUCUAUCCAAAUCAUUCCAGUGCACAGAAAUGUGCAGCCUCAACAGAAAGAGUUUCUCUAUCUGAAAUAAAAUAUUAGUGCUUCUGUUGAUGUAGUCAAUUUCCCCAAGCAAGCACCAUCAUCAGAUGGUCCUAAUUGAGUUCUGACACUCAGUCUAAUCAAUGUGUAUUAAAGAAAGAGCAAAAGAACUUGACUUUAGUUUUGGGAAAAUUACAUAUUUAAAAGAUUUUUGUGUCAGCCACAGUGAUUUUACAUUAAGUGAAAGCUGCUGUUAGGAAAAAGAAAUUGAGAAAAUCUCAAAUCUACUCAGCUCCAUUCACUGCACAUUUUAAGAAGAGAAACCUUGUUGAUCAUAAGUACAUUACUGUUUGUUAAAUGAGAGACCUGUAUAUUCCCUGGAUAUGUUACUUUUAAUAAACCUUGCUUCUUAUCCCCAUAAACGUCGGGGAACAUUCAAAUUACUAUUUUACCUCUAUGAAAUGUUCAUUUUCUGUUUACCCCCAUCAAGAAUAACUUUGAAAAACUGUGUAGUACUUCAGACUUCUAUAAGCUGGUGAGGUUUUACUUGUAGAACCAAUGGCCAAAUGAUGGUUGGGUGGUCUAAAGUUUACUCAGCACCCACAUGUUAUAUGGUUUCCAGAACUUCUGUGGUUGAAUUUGAACAUUUAACUUUUUUUUUCAUUCUGUGCAUUAAAUCAUUAUUUCAAAUUAUUGAGGAAGCAAUGGGAAACUGUUAGCUUCAGCAUGAUAUAAUAAUAUAAUGAAAGCCUGAAUUAUUUCUCUGACAUUUA